RNAcentral lists this ribosomal RNA (434 nucleotides) under uncultured Clostridium sp. RNAcentral's name for it is "partial 16S ribosomal RNA". It matches the Rfam family "Bacterial small subunit ribosomal RNA", at positions 341 to 792 of the family's 1533-position model. Lineage: Bacteria; Bacillati; Bacillota; Clostridia; Eubacteriales; Clostridiaceae. The record is from RNAcentral.
ACGGAAGGCAGCAGUGGGGAAUAUUGGACAAUGGGGGCAACCCUGAUCCAGCGACGCCGCGUGAGUGAAGAAGUAUUUCGGUAUGUAAAGCUCUAUCAGCAGGGACGAUAAUGACGGUACCUGACUAAGAAGCUCCGGCUAAAUACGUGCCAGCAGCCGCGGUAAUACGUAUGGAGCAAGCGUUAUCCGGAUUUACUGGGUGUAAAGGGAGCGUAGGUGGUUUUGUAAGUCAGAAGUGAAAUGCCGGGGCUCAACCCCGGAGCUGCUUUUGAAACUGCAGAACUAGAGUGCAGGAGAGGUAAGUGGAAUUCCUAGUGUAGCGGUGAAAUGCGUAGAUAUUAGGAGGAACACCAGUGGCGAAGGCGGCUUACUGGACUGUAACUGACGUUGAGGCUCGAAAGCGUGGGGAGCAAACAGGAUUAGAUACCCUGGUA